GUGAGGAAUAUUGGGCAAUGGGCGAAAGCCUGACCCAGCCACGCCGCGUGAGUGAUGAAGGCCUUCGGGUUGUAAAGCUCUGUGGGGAGGGAAGAAAAAGCGGGAGAGUAACUGCUCUCGUGUUGACGGUACCUCCUUAGCAAGCACCGGCUAACUCUGUGCCAGCAGCCGCGGUAAUACAGAGGGUGCAAACGUUGCUCGGAAUUACUGGGCGUAAAGCGCGUGUAGGCUGACAUGCAAGUCGGGUGUGAAAUCCCAGGGCUCAACCUUGGAACUGCACUCGAAACUGCACGUCUUGAGUACUGGAGAGGGAAGCGGAAUUCCGGGUGUAGAGGUGAAAUUCGUAGAUAUCCGGAGGAACACCAGUGGCGAAGGCGGCUUCCUGGACAGUAACUGACGCUGAGGAGCGAAAGCCAGGGGAGCGAACCGGAUUAGAAACCCUUGUAGUCC
This 450-nucleotide ribosomal RNA is filed under the name uncultured bacterium. Its description in RNAcentral is "partial 16S ribosomal RNA". It matches the Rfam family "Bacterial small subunit ribosomal RNA", at positions 354 to 796 of the family's 1533-position model. The record is from RNAcentral.